This 452-nucleotide ribosomal RNA is filed under the name uncultured bacterium. RNAcentral's name for it is "bacterial SSU rRNA". It matches the Rfam family "Bacterial small subunit ribosomal RNA", at positions 329 to 795 of the family's 1533-position model. The record is from RNAcentral.
GCCCAGACUCCUACGGGAGGCAGCAGUGGGGAAUAUUGGACAAUGGGGGGAACCCUGAUCCAGCGACGCCGCGUGAGUGAAGAAGUAUUUCGGUAUGUAAAGCUCUAUCAGCAGGGAAGAAAGAAAUGACGGUACCUGACUAAGAAGCCCCGGCUAACUACGUGCCAGCAGCCGCGGUAAUACGUAGGGGGCAAGCGUUAUCCGGAUUUACUGGGUGUAAAGGGAGCGUAGACGGUGAGACAAGUCUGAAGUGAAAGCCCGGGGCUCAACCCCGGGACUGCUUUGGAAACUGCCUGACUGGAGUGCUGGAGAGGCAAGCGGAAUUCCUAGUGUAGCGGUGAAAUGCGUAGAUAUUAGGAGGAACAUCAGUGGCGAAGGCGGUCUGCUGGACAGCAACUGACGCUGAGGCGCGAAAGCGUGGGGAGCAAACAGGAUUAGAUACCCGAGUACUC